GCAUGCUGAGUUUUAGUUUAGAGUGGUUGCACGGGGGCCUCUUCAUCAUGAAUCUGGAAACCCUCUAUCAUUAAGGAUUAGUUCACAGAUUUCCUGAAAGUAAAAGAAAAAUGGAAAAGAAAAUAGGAAGACACCAGCCACCACCUUGCACAGACUCUGGGAUCUAAGACCACACAAUGAAAGGGAGAAAUCAGUGGCUGAAGGAGUCACUUCAUGACUGGGGAGUACAAAUGAUCUAGACCUGCACCGCCUGAUGCUGUAGUUACUACCCACAUGUGGCUAUUUAAGUUGAAAUUAAUUGAAAUUAAAUAAAAUAAAAAAUACAAUUCCUCAGUCACAGUGGUCAAGUGUCAAGUGCUUAAUAGCUGAAUGUAGCUAAUGGCAACUGUAUUAGACAGUGCAGAUUUCAUAAACCAUUUUAUAGGCCGUGUAUAUCAGCACAGAAAGUGCUACAAGACAGUGCUGAUGUGUCUCUUUACAUAAUCAGGUUUAAGCUGGCACUGUCUAGGGUAAUGGCUGAAAAUCAGGGUUUGUUCCUUCGGGACGACAGUUGGAGAAAUGGUCAACCCUUGGUUUCAUAAUAAUAAUGCCUU
RNAcentral lists this long non-coding RNA (593 nucleotides) under Homo sapiens (human). Its description in RNAcentral is "non-protein coding lnc-ST3GAL4-8:2". The record is from RNAcentral. Lineage: Eukaryota; Metazoa; Chordata; Mammalia; Primates; Hominidae.